This 77-nucleotide transfer RNA is filed under the name Verrucomicrobiales bacterium. Its description in RNAcentral is "tRNA-Arg". It matches the Rfam family "tRNA". From Rfam's summary of the family: Transfer RNA (tRNA) molecules are approximately 80 nucleotides in length. The record is from RNAcentral. Lineage: Bacteria; Pseudomonadati; Verrucomicrobiota; Verrucomicrobiia; Verrucomicrobiales.
GCAUCUGUAGCUCAAUUGGAUAGAGCGAGGGCCUUCUAACCCCAAGGUUGCAGGUUCGAGUCCUGCCAGAUGCACCA